Aedes albopictus (Asian tiger mosquito) is the source of this 595-nucleotide long non-coding RNA. RefSeq lists it as uncharacterized. The transcript is spliced from 2 exons. Lineage: Eukaryota; Metazoa; Arthropoda; Insecta; Diptera; Culicidae. The record is from RefSeq and is a predicted model, not a curated record.
AUUGAAUGUUACGCGAGUUUUAUUCACGCCUGAAUCAACAACAACAAAUUUAACAAAGUUAACUCCACCAUCGCAUCGAACGCAUCCCAAGUUUUCCGAUGCAUUUCCAACCCGGAAAUAUUCCUGGUCUACCUACUGGACAUCGCAGCUUACACCGGUAAACCCUGGAGAAACAGAGUUCUGAAGGCUGAAAAUUAUUCUUCCAAACACCACACCAUACUAGCGGUUCGUCCGGCAAAAGAAGGAAGUACCUGUGUUUGCAGAUUUAUCCUCUUUAUCCCUCGAAAAAAAGAAGCUAUAGAAAUGCCAACCAAGAAAGAUAAGAUCCGCCGGCAAUUUGCUGACAUUCUGAAGGAUGCCAAACGGGAGGGAAAGCACCUGCAACUGAGUGACCUAUUCCGCCGCGUGGAAGAAGCCGCCGCGUGGAGGAAGUUGAUGACCCAGCCCAGCACGAAUGAUACAGAGGAGGGAACAGAAGGAAAAUCCCCCAGGAGGAAAAAGCCGGAAAGCAGAGGUUAUGAUGCUUUGGGUGAAGGAGCAGGACAAUCUUGGUGCGCCGACCAAAGUUGAACCGGUCAACAAGAAGAAACGUGUA